CAACAGUCGGGACAGCAUCUCG
RNAcentral lists this microRNA (22 nucleotides) under Simian foamy virus. Its description in RNAcentral is "sfv-miR-S6-3p". Its record names the gene sfv-miR-S6-3p. Lineage: Riboviria; Pararnavirae; Artverviricota; Revtraviricetes; Ortervirales; Retroviridae. The record is from miRBase by way of RNAcentral.